ACUCCUACGGGAGGCAGCAGUGGGGAAUAUUGGACAAUGGGCGAAAGCCUGAUCCAGCAAUACCGCGUGUGUGAAGAAGGCCUUAGGGUUGUAAAGCACUUUCAAUUGGGAGGAAAACCUGCCGGUCAAUACCCGGUAGCUUGACAUUACCUUUAGAAGAAGCACCGGCUAACUCCGUGCCAGCAGCCGCGGUAAUACGGAGGGUGCAAGCGU
Molecule: ribosomal RNA, 213 nt
Filed under: uncultured bacterium
Lineage: Bacteria
Also listed under: 1 other name
Description: partial 16S ribosomal RNA
Rfam family: Bacterial small subunit ribosomal RNA
Source: RNAcentral